GCCAUGUUCGUUUCAUAGUCGCCGCUUCCGGCGACUGCGUCAAAAAAAUGUUCCGUGAUGUAGACAAAAAUAACAAAGUCGGAGACGCAGAAAACCCAAAGUAGUGGCUAAUACAUUGCCGGAGACGCAGAAACUUCGACGCUGAUGACGCUGCUUUAUUUCGCGUCCGUUAUAUUGGCUAGUAGUUGCCGCAGUGACUGGAAAUCAGUGAAUCGUGCUUCACAGGUGCUGUGUAUUUCUGUCAUUAAUGACUUAAUUUUUUGACGCAACCGCCGGAGUCAGCGUCGA
Molecule: long non-coding RNA, 288 nt
Filed under: Brassica napus (rape)
Lineage: Eukaryota; Viridiplantae; Streptophyta; Magnoliopsida; Brassicales; Brassicaceae
Description: long non-coding RNA (BNAP_LNC009156)
Source: RNAcentral